Molecule: ribosomal RNA, 2865 nt
Filed under: bacterium
Lineage: Bacteria
Description: partial 23S ribosomal RNA
Rfam family: Bacterial large subunit ribosomal RNA
Source: RNAcentral
GCCCAGACCGUCAACUAAGGUCCCUAAAUCUACGCUAAGUGGGGAAGGAGGUGGAGUUUCUCAAACAGCGAGGAGGUUGGCUUAGAAGCAGCCAUCCUUUAAAGAGUGCGUAACAGCUCACUCGUCUAGAGAUUCUGCGCCCAAGAUACUCGGGGCUAAGCGUAGUACCGAAGUUACGGGUGCCGUGCUUCGCACGGAAAUCCUAAAUCAAAAAUUCUAAACUCUAAACAAAUACUAAUUCUCAAAAUCCAAAUUCAAAACGUUUUGAUUUUGGAGCAUUUGAAUUUUUAAUUUGUUUAGGAUUUAGAUAUUAGAAUUUAGAGUUUCCGCGCGGAGCGCGGUGCAGUAGCAGAGCAUUUUAUAUGCAGUGAAGGUCGACCCGUGAGGGCGAUUGGAGCGUAUGGAAGAGAGAAUGUUGGCACAAGUAACCACAAGUUCCGUGAAAUCCGGAACCGCCGAAAAUCCAAGGUUUCCUCAGCAAUGAUAAUCAACUGAGGGUUAGUCGGUCCUAAGGUGAUGGCGAAAGCCGAAGCUAAUGGACAGCAGGUUAAUAUUCCUGCACUAUGUUGCAAGCGCGAUGGCGUGACGAAGUCUAGUAUAUCAGGCGCAUUAUUGGAUUUGCGUUCGGGAUAUGAGGAUGGUCGGUAGGUAAAUCCGCCGGCGGGGGUAAUGCCCGCAUCCAAGUAUAGCGUAAAUUUCUUGCCGCAAGGCUUGAGAAAUCUGAUAAAGCAGGCUUCCCAGAAAACCGUCUAAGUUUAUUGCAGCGUAUCCGUACCGGAAACCGACACAGGUGGAUUGGUCGAGAAGACUAAGGCGAACGGGUGAUUCCUCGUUAAGGAACUCGGCAAAAAAGCGGCCGUAAGUUCGCGAGAAGGCCUGCCCAUCCGAUGCGCAGCAUCGGGAAACUCUAAAUCCGAAAUCCUAAAUUCUAAAUAAUGUCAAAACUUAAAUGACUAAAAUUCAAAAUAAGAUUUUCUUUGUUUGGAAUUUUGAGCAUUAAAAUUUUUGAAUUUGUUUAGGAUUUGGUGCUUAGGAUUUGGGAUUUCCGCUGCUGUGCAGCGGUAUGGGCCGCAGCGAAAGUACCCCUGGCGACUGUUUACCAAAAACACAGCUCCCUGCUAACUCGUAAGAGGAUGUAUAGGGGGUGACACUUGACCAAUGCGGGAAGGUUAAUCAUUCUUGUGCAAUGACGCGAUUACAUCAAAUUGUUGUGCUCUGGGUGCCAAGCCCCCGUCAAUGUCAGCAGUAACUAUAACUGUCAACUUAGGGCAGUUACAAAAUCUCACUAUUUGCUGGAAUAGCCGUUGUAUCUGGUGCUACCGAAUGCGGAAUGUGUAUCGCAAUCAUCUCUCUUUCCGUCAUCCCCGACUCGAUCGGGGAUCCAGAUUCUCUUUAAUUAUACAAGAGGGUCUGGAUUCCCGCAUACGCCGGGAAUGACAAAAAGAGGGGGGCAAUAUUGCGAUAUAGAUUCCGCAUUCGGUGAAAAUGCAUCCAGUGCGGCCAAUCAGCAGGGAAGAAUUAAAAGGAGGAAUGUAUGUAUCGAAUUAUUUAUGUCAAAGAUGUUGAGUUUGGCGCGUUAUCGCAUGAUUUUUUUGCAUCUGACGAUCAAGAUGCUCGAGAAAAAUCGAGAAUUGAGAUUACUAAACUUAAACAAAAAGAAGGAAAUGAUAUUUUGAUUCGACGAUUAGAAAAAGUGAAACGAAUGAGUCAUAUGACAGAGAGAACUAUAGAAAUUCCACUUUAAAAAUUCCCCUCAGAGACUACACGUGAGACGCAACGCGGAUGAGCAGGGCGUGUUUCUUGCUCAUCCCUAUUAUUCUGUUGCGAUGAUAUAGUCCGAUCUGCAUGGCGACAUGCAGAGCUGAUCAGAAAUGAAUCAGCCAUGUAUUUCUUUUGUCAUCCUGAACGGAGUGAAGGAUCUAGAUUCUUCAGUUACGCUUCAGAACGACGAAGAGAUAUAGAGUAACAAAAGAAAAAUAAUGUCUAAGGUAGCGCAAUUCCUUUUCGGGUAAGGAAACUUGCCCACUGAAAGAGUGAUCUUUCAGUAAACAACCAGCUUAUAACGGUGGACUCCAUAUGAUAUAGUAAAUAUAUGGACAAUACCGUGGGAAGUCGUCCCGAUACUAUCGGGAUUGACCCCGUAACGACUGAGGCGAAAGCCAAAAUAAGUUGCUUUUAGCAAUUUAUUAUACGCUGGUCUCUUGAUGAGAAUGAGAAGUUUUGAGGAUUAUAUUACCGGUUACGUUGAUGGAGAAGGUUGCUUCACGGUGACCUUUAAUAAACGUCCGGCGAUGAAUACGGGAUGGGAAUUACGGCCAAGUUUUUCUGUGAGUCAGAAUGAAGACAGACGCGAAGUUAUUGAUCUCAUCCAAACAUAUUUCGGAUGCGGUUAUAUUCGCAGAGAUUAUUCUGAUAAAACGGUAAAAUUUGAGAUUCGUGAUCACAAUGAAUUGAUUACGAAAGUAAUUCCUCAUUUUGAGAAGUAUCCUCUGAUUUCUCGUAAGCAAAAAGAUUUCGAGUUAUUUCGGGAGAUAAAUAUGAUGAUUGAACAUGAAGAGCAUUUGGCAACACAAGGAUUUGCAAAGAUCGUUGAGUUGGCAUAUCGGAUGAACGGAUCGGGAAAACGCAAGAGAACAAAAGAAGAAAUAAUUCGUAAUUUAAAAUCAGUUCGUCAAGAUGAAGAUAUAGUCUUAUCUUUAUCGCAAGAUAAAGUCAAAAAAUAUGAAGUUCCGAAGCGCACGAAAAGUGUAACGACUGGGGGACUGUCUCAACGAGGAGCCCGGUGAAAAUACAAUACCGGUGAAGAUGCCGGUUACCUGUAGUUAGACGAAAAGACCCCGGGAGCUUUACUGUAGCUUGAUAUUG